CAUAGCAUAUAAUAAACAUUUCAUCCACUGCCUAUUGAAUGCGCUACACCCAGUCCAGUAGGAGGCGCUAAUGACCCUUCAGUUGCCAACCGCCACUCAGGCCAAAAGCGCAGAAGAACAAAAAUGACCGGGAAAAUCUGACAGAAGUGAGAAGAUGAUAACAGCACAGCGGGGUUUUAGAAGCCCUAGGGGUGGGCGGAAUGACCAAAAAUCUAUUCCACGGAAUGAGUCAUUUUAUUUCACAGAACGGUAUAUUCACGGUCAGAGAAUGGAUGGAUUAUCCAGUCACGGUACAUAAUGAAAGACUUGACUGAGUUAGAAGAAGCUGAGCGACUCUUCAGAGUGAAGAUGUUAUGAUGCAGUUAUGUCAAAGUACUCGUUUUGGCUGGCCAGAUUGGAAGAGACCUGAAUGGGAAGAUGGCAGAGCUAAGACUGACAAUGUCCAGGAAAAAUGUUAACUAAAAAUGAGUGUGUUUUUCCCCAGCGAGUGAGUUUGGAAAUGUUUUAAAUGUGCCUAGAAGUUUGAAAAUGUAAUACUGAGGGAAAAAAGUGAGCGCUUUGAAAAGGCUUUAAAAAGAAAAUAAAGUUGAUGUUAAAUGAAGUUAAAGUUUUUACUUGAAAAGUUUGUACUUGUUUGUACUUGUCAAGUCUGUGCUGAAAAAAUGCAGUAAAGUUUGUAUUUGAAAAGACUUGGAAUUGUGUGUUCUGUAGAAUGAGUACAAAUAUAUGUGUAGGCUGUA
Molecule: non-coding RNA, 740 nt
Organism: Misgurnus anguillicaudatus (oriental weatherfish)
Lineage: Eukaryota; Metazoa; Chordata; Actinopteri; Cypriniformes; Cobitidae
Source: RefSeq, a predicted model, not a curated record